RNAcentral lists this ribosomal RNA (254 nucleotides) under uncultured bacterium. RNAcentral's name for it is "partial 16S ribosomal RNA". It matches the Rfam family "Bacterial small subunit ribosomal RNA", at positions 524 to 776 of the family's 1533-position model. The record is from RNAcentral.
UACGGGGGGAGCAAGCGUUGUUCGGAUUUACUGGGCGUAAAGGGCGCGUAGGCGGUCGUGACAAGUCACUUGUGAAAUCUCCGGGCUUAACUCGGAACGGUCAAGUGAUACUGCCGGACUAGAGUACAGAAGGGGCAACUGGAAUUCUCGGUGUAGCGGUGAAAUGCGUAGAUAUCGAGAGGAACACCUGCGGCGAAGGCGGGUUGCUGGGCUGAUACUGACGCUGAGGCGCGAAAGCCAGGGGAGCGAACGGG